RNAcentral lists this ribosomal RNA (250 nucleotides) under uncultured bacterium. RNAcentral describes it as "partial 16S ribosomal RNA". It matches the Rfam family "Bacterial small subunit ribosomal RNA", at positions 524 to 773 of the family's 1533-position model. The record is from RNAcentral.
UACGGAGGGUGCAAGCGUUGUUCGGAAUCAUUGGGCGUAAAGCGCGUGUAGGCGGUUACGUAAGUCUGGUGUGAAAUCCCGGGGCUUAACCCCGGAAGUGCAUUGGAUACUGCGCAACUAGAGGACGAGAGAGGAUGGUGGAAUUCCUGGUGUAGGGGUGAAAUCCGUAGAUAUCAGGAGGAACAUCGGUGGCGAAGGCGGCCAUCUGGCUCGUAUCUGACGCUGAGACGCGAAAGCGUGGGGAGCAAAC